RNAcentral lists this ribosomal RNA (267 nucleotides) under uncultured bacterium. RNAcentral's name for it is "partial 16S ribosomal RNA". It matches the Rfam family "Bacterial small subunit ribosomal RNA", at positions 335 to 596 of the family's 1533-position model. The record is from RNAcentral.
ACUCCUACGGGAGGCAGCAGUGGGAAGUAUUGCACAAUGGGAAACCGGACUGNAGCCAUGCCGCGUGUGUGAAGAAGGCCUUCGGGUUGUAAAGCACUUUCAGUAGGGAGGAAGGUAGUGUAGUUAACACCUGCAUUAUUUGACGUUACCUACAGAAGAAGCACCGGCUAACUCCGUGCCAGCAGCCGCGGUAAUACGGAGGGUGCGAGCGUUAAUCGGAAUUACUGGGCGUAAAGCGCAUGCAGGCGGCCUGUUAAGUCAGAUGUG